UCCAACGAAUUUUGGAACAAAAACUAACUGAGGCAUCCAAGCUACUGAGGCAUCCAAGCUACUGCUUUUGCUGCUGAUCAUCUCCAUGCCAGGCCCAAACUAUGUCCUUCAGUGCUGGCCGGAUGUCUUCUUCAAAUAAUUUCUGAUACUCAAGAAAAUCACCGCUUGUUUGUUUCAUCUCAACAAGAUGAUGAAGUGGUGUGAUCUCAAAGAUCUCUGUGUCAAACUGAAGGACACCAUUCCUUCCCUCCUUCCUCCCUUGAAUCUUGACAACACCAUUAUCCUUCUUCCUUACCCUGAGAUUCAACAUCUUUGCGACGUCUUCAAUCUUCAAGAUGAUGGCCGAGGCUGACUUGUCUGAAGUAAAUCUUGCCUCCUUUCUGCACUCCUUUUCAAGAAAGAGGCCAGAUAGAUCAAACCCUGAGGAGAAAGAGAUAAUUUCAAAGGCAUUUAAGUUUGUCACAGUCAGCGGUUUUGCAUCUUCAUAAGGAUUCUUUUUGCGCCUCACAGAAAGUGUUGGAGCAGCAUUUGUGGUGGCAUUCUCACAGGGAAUUUUCUCCUUAACUGUGCGGGUCCCCUCGGGACCUUUUCUGAACCAGGUAGACUCUUUUAUUUUCUGGAUUGAAAUUCUUGUGGCUGGGUUGGGGUCCAGGAUCUUGUACAACAGCUUCUUGAGUUUGUGUGAAAACCAACUGGGGCACCUGAAAUCACCAUGCUGUACCUUUCGAUACAUCUCCAUCAAGUUUGGGCCUUGGAAAGGGAGAUAACCAGCAACAAGAACAAAUAGAACAACACCGCAAGACCAGAUGUCUGAUUUUGCACCAUCAUAGCCUAUCUUGCUGAUCACCUCUGGAGCUACAUAUGCUGGUGUUCCACAGGUGGUAUGGAGCAAUCCAUCUUGCCUUUUCGACUCCGAAAGUGCGCUCAGUCCAAAAUCAGAUACCUUCAGGUUCUCAUCCUCAUCCAGCAGCAGGUUCUCAGGCUUCAGGUCCCGGUGGU
RNAcentral lists this long non-coding RNA (999 nucleotides) under Setaria viridis. RNAcentral's name for it is "long non-coding RNA (SVIR_LNC008559)". The record is from RNAcentral. Lineage: Eukaryota; Viridiplantae; Streptophyta; Magnoliopsida; Poales; Poaceae.